GAUGAACGCUGGCGGCGUGCCUAAUACAUGCAAGUAGAACGCUGGGGAGAGGAGCUUGCUCCUCUGGGGUUAGCGGCGAACGGGUGAGUAACGCGUAGGUAACCUGCCUCUUAGCGUGGGAUAACUUCGGGAAACCAUAGCUAAUACCGCAUAAUAUUUUAAACCACAUGUCUCAAAAUUGAAAGACGCAAUUGCUGCACUAUAAGGAUGACUCGCGUCUUAUUUGGCAGUAGGUGAAGUAACGGGUUACCUAGGCGAAGGUACAUUGACGACCCGAGAGGGGGGUCGGCCAACCUGGGACUGGGACCCGGGCCAGACUCCUUCGGGGAGCAGCAGUAGGGGAUCUUCGGGAAUGGGGGCAAAGCUGGCCGGGCAACGGCGCGUGGGUGGAGGAGGUUUUCGGGUCGUAAAGCUCUGUUGAAAGUCGAGGACGGGUGUGGGAGUGGAAAGUUCACACUGUGACGGUAGCUUACCAGAAAGCGACGGCUAACUACGUG
Molecule: ribosomal RNA, 497 nt
Filed under: uncultured bacterium
Lineage: Bacteria
Description: partial 16S ribosomal RNA
Rfam family: Bacterial small subunit ribosomal RNA
Source: RNAcentral